Molecule: long non-coding RNA, 1043 nt
Organism: Raphanus sativus (radish)
Lineage: Eukaryota; Viridiplantae; Streptophyta; Magnoliopsida; Brassicales; Brassicaceae
Exons: 3
Source: RefSeq, a predicted model, not a curated record
AUUUUCAAUUCAUCAUUUUCUCGAACAAGGAGCAGCUCUCCCUUCACCCUCUUCUUCUUCCACUUCCUCUUCUCAUCUCAGCAACCGUCACCUCCACCGGCGGCGGAAUCGGCUCCCGAUCUAUGACUACUAGUCGCACCUUCUCUGACUAUGGGCCGAUCGGGUCCGAGAGCUUCGGAACGGGAUCCUCUGUCCCGUACUCGUCAGAGGAGCUUCUCAGCGAGCCUGUGGGGGAGAAUAUCAGCUCUGAGCGGGAUAGUAUCUCCGUCACCAUUCGUUUUCGACCAUUGAGCGAUAGAGAGUAUCAAAGAGGAGAUGAAGUUGCUUGGUACCUUGAUGGCGAUACUAUGGUCAGGCACGAGUACAACACUUGUUCACUCUCUCACACUCUGCGAGAGAGGAGGAUGCGAGUGGGUGAGAAAUGCAGAUGCUUUAUACUUUGAUUCAAGACUGUAAAAUGCAGUUACAAUAUAGGCUGGCGGCAGUAUAAUGUCAGCUCAAUCAGGUUCUGUCUAGCUGGCUCCAUCGGAGAAGCUUUGGAGUUAGCUGGUGAUAUGAAUAUCAAGCAUGGAGUGGAGCCUGAUAAUGUGACGUACAAUAUCCUUGCGAAAGGGUGUCAUCUCCUCGGUAUGAUCAAAUGGGUUUGGGAGAUCAUUCAACAGAAGCAUUGGUACACAGGGGAAGGAAUGGACGAGAUGGAGUUAACAGAGGCAGAGAGCAACAUGAAUGAUCUUGUCUCAGAGUACCAACAGUACCAAGAAACAACUGCAGAUGAAGAAGGUGAGUACGAGGAUGAGGAAGAAGGAGAAUACCAACAAGAAGAGGAGUACUGAGAGUAAGCGUAUGUGAACUACUCCCACCCCCUUAUAAAGCAUAUCUCUAGUUAUUUGUUUUUAUUAAGGAAGCCUCAACUACGAGUUGCAGGUUUAUAUUGACAAAUUAUGGAUCCUGCUUGACUUAUGGUGUGCUGUUUGUGUACUUUAAUUUGGGAUUAUAAAUUUUAACAAGCAAUUAUUUUCAUAGGGAUUCUUAGAACAUUCCAA